Molecule: long non-coding RNA, 659 nt
Organism: Rhinopithecus roxellana (golden snub-nosed monkey)
Lineage: Eukaryota; Metazoa; Chordata; Mammalia; Primates; Cercopithecidae
Exons: 3
Source: RefSeq, a predicted model, not a curated record
CUUGAAUCCGGAGGGAAGUGGAGGUUUCAGAUCAAGAAGGAAGGAAGGAAAAAGAAAUAGACUUUGCAAGUUAGUAGUUCUGUGACUGAAUUCCAGUGUGUGUAAGACCCUCAGGCAUUCCUCCGGUCCAAACCAAAACCUGUCAGCGAAGGAUGAUUUCACAGGAGCAAACCAAGACUAUAUUUCCAGUUUUAUAGCCUGCCUUGGGGUCUUGGACUAGGAAGCUAACAGACACAGAAAGCUGAGAUUGUGCAAAGACAGGAUCAACCAUCCACUCUGAGCUCUGGGAGCACCUGAAAUGCGAUUUGAUGUCACCACCACCGUCCGCAGUUCAGUCACAGUUCAUGUGUGGAACUUAACCUGCACAGACGUGAGUUUGCUGAGACCCAAGACCUUUUGCACUGAGGAACACUAGAUAACACUUCAAUCCUAUGUGUGUGGGCCAUUUAAAAAAGCAAAACCACCACCAAAGAAAAGCAAAAAAUUACAAAGAUGUGGCGCUAAACAGACCAAGAAAUGGACCCUUGUUUACAGGUAUUCACCAUGAACGGCCGGGGAAAAAUCUUCAGGAUUAUGAAACCAGGCUGCUAUGGACUUCACUCUGAGUUUUUUUAAUUUCGAUUUUUUUAAAGCAUGUUAAUUUGAAUAAAUGGUUACUU